This is a long non-coding RNA of Sinocyclocheilus rhinocerous, 494 nucleotides long. RefSeq lists it as uncharacterized. The record is from RefSeq and is a predicted model, not a curated record. NCBI's taxonomy places the organism in Eukaryota, Metazoa, Chordata, Actinopteri, Cypriniformes, Cyprinidae. The transcript is spliced from 3 exons.
AAUCACCACUGUAUGUUACUCAGAGACUCAUGAAUUGAUGAAUUUACAGCAUUGACACUGUUGUUUAUUUCUGUGAAGCUGCUUUGAAUCUGUCUGUACUGUAUAAAGCUCUUGUGCUGGAGUUUUUCCCGCCUUCAUAUCUGCUGUUAUAAACUGAAGUGUCAUGUUUCUGCUGUGUUUCCAGUUCUCACUGUCUGCGCGCCGCUGCCUUCUACAUCCGAGGCCUUCUGUCCUUCUUCCAGGGACGCUACAAUGAAGCCAAGCGUUUCCUGCGCGAGACGCUGAAGAUGUCGAAUGCGGAGGAUCUGAAUCGUCUGACGGCCUGCUCUCUGGUGCUGCUGGGACACAUAUUCUUCGUGCUGGGGAACCACAGAGAGAGCAACAACAUGGUGGUUCCUGCGAUGCAGCUGGCCAGUAAGAUCCCAGACAUGUCUGUGCAGCUCUGGUCAUCGGCUCUGCUCAAGGGUCAGUUCAACACACACAAACUCACACUC